RNAcentral lists this ribosomal RNA (386 nucleotides) under uncultured bacterium. RNAcentral's name for it is "bacterial SSU rRNA". It matches the Rfam family "Bacterial small subunit ribosomal RNA", at positions 28 to 417 of the family's 1533-position model. The record is from RNAcentral.
GACGAACGCUGGCGGCGUGCUUAACACAUGCAAGUCGAGCGGUAAGGCCCUUUCGGGGUACACGAGCGGCGAACGGGUGAGUAACACGUGGGUGACCUGCCCUCAGCUCUGGGAUAAGCCUGGGAAACUGGGUCUAAUACUGGAUAUGACUCCACGGUGCAUGUCGUGGGGUGGAAAGCCUUGUGCGGCUGAGGAUGGGCCCGCGGCCUAUCAGCUUGUUGGUGGGGUGAGGCCUACCAAGGCGACGACGGGUAGCCGGCCUGAGAGGGCGACCGGCCACACUGGGACUGAGACACGGCCCAGACUCCUACGGGAGGCAGCAGUGGGGAAUCUUGCGCAAUGGGCGAAAGCCUGACGCAGCGACGCCGCGUGAGGGAUGACGGCCU